UGCAUCGGCCGGGAAUCGAACCCGGGCCGCCUAAGUGGGAGGCGAGCAUUCUACCACUGAACCACCGAUGG
Molecule: transfer RNA, 71 nt
Filed under: Cordylochernes scorpioides
Lineage: Eukaryota; Metazoa; Arthropoda; Arachnida; Pseudoscorpiones; Chernetidae
Description: tRNA-Gly
Source: RNAcentral